CUACGGGCUGCUCCAGUGAGGAAUAUUGCACAAUGGGGGAAACCCUGAUGCAGCAACGCCGCGUGGAGGAUGACGCAUUUCGGUGUGUAAACUCCUUUUAUAUGUCAAGAAAAUGACGGUAGCAUAUGAAUAAGCACCGGCUAACUCCGUGCCAGCAGCCGCGGUAAUACGGAGGGUGCAAGCGUUACUCGGAAUCACUGGGCGUAAAGGACGCGUAGGCUGUUUGGCAAGUCAGAUGUGAAAUCCUAUGGCUCAACCAUAGAACUGCAUUUGAAACUGCCAGACUAGAGUAUGGGAGGGGGAGAUGGAAUUAGUGGUGUAGGGGUAAAAUCCGUAGAUAUCACUAGGAAUACCUAAAGCGAAGGCGAUCUCCUGGAACAUUACUGACGCUAAGGCGUGAAAGCGUGGGGAGCAAACAGGAUUAGAUACCCCUGUAGUC
Molecule: ribosomal RNA, 439 nt
Filed under: uncultured bacterium
Lineage: Bacteria
Description: partial 16S ribosomal RNA
Rfam family: Bacterial small subunit ribosomal RNA
Source: RNAcentral